RNAcentral lists this ribosomal RNA (496 nucleotides) under uncultured bacterium. RNAcentral describes it as "bacterial SSU rRNA". It matches the Rfam family "Bacterial small subunit ribosomal RNA", at positions 29 to 507 of the family's 1533-position model. The record is from RNAcentral.
AGCGAACGCUGGCGGCGUGCCUAACCAUGCAAGUCGAACGGUUCUGUUGGGGGCUUGCUCUCGACAGAGUAGUGGCAAACGGGUGAGUAACACGUGGGUAAUCUCCUUCGAGUGAGGAAUAACUUCGGGAAACCGGAGCUAAUACCGCAUAACAUCUUGGAACGGCAGUUUCAAGAUCAAAGGGGGCGCAAGCUCCCGCUUGAAGUUGAGCUCGCGUCCUAUCAGCUAGUUGGUGAGGUAAUGGCUCACCAAGGCUCCGACGGGUAGCCGGCCUGAGAGGGUGGCCGGCCACACUGGGACUGAGACACGGCCCAGACUCCUACGGGAGGCAGCAGUGGGGAAUAUUGCGCAAUGGACGAAAGUCUGACGCAGCGACGCCGCGUGGGUGAUGAAGGCCUUCGGGUCGUAAAGCCCUGUUGAGGGAGAGAAAGCUACUGUCGGUUAAUACCCGGCAGUGGUGAUAGUAUCCCUAGAGAAAGCACCGGCUAACUACGUG